GACCGGCAGACGGCUGAGUAACACGUUGGUAUCUGCCCUGUACUCGUGGAUAGCCCGGAGAAAUCCGGAUUAAUACACGAUAGUCUCUACGGAGUAAAGAUUUCUCGGUACAGGAGGAGCCUGCGGCCUAUCAGUUUGUUGGUGAGGUAAUGGCUCACCAAGACUAUGACGGGUACCUGGUGUGAGAGCACGACCAGGCAGAAUGGGACUGAGACACGGCCCAUACUCC
RNAcentral lists this ribosomal RNA (229 nucleotides) under uncultured bacterium. RNAcentral's name for it is "partial 16S ribosomal RNA". It matches the Rfam family "Bacterial small subunit ribosomal RNA", at positions 93 to 339 of the family's 1533-position model. The record is from RNAcentral.